Molecule: ribosomal RNA, 402 nt
Filed under: uncultured prokaryote
Description: bacterial SSU rRNA
Rfam family: Bacterial small subunit ribosomal RNA
Source: RNAcentral
UAGGGAAUAUUAGAAAUGGACGAAAGUCUGAUCUAGCAACACCGCGUGUGCGGAGAAGGCCUUCGGGUUGUAAAGCACUUUUUGUAAGGAAUAGGAAGGAAGGUACUUCCAGAAUAAGUCUCGGCUAACUACGUGCCAGCAGCCGCGGUAACACGUAGGAGGCAAACGUUAUCCGGAUUUACUGGGCGUAAAGCGCGUGUAGGUGGUUCUGUAAGUAGGGCGUGAAAGCUCCUGGCUCAACUGGGAGAGGCCGUUCUAAACUGCAGAGCUAGAGGAUGGUAGAGGGAGGUGGAAUUCCGGGUGUAGCGGUGGAAUGCGCAGAUAUCCGGAGGAACACCAGUGGCGAAAGCGGCCUCCUGGACCACUCCUGACACUCAGACGCGAAAGCUAGGGUAGCAAACG